RNAcentral lists this ribosomal RNA (22 nucleotides) under Ulvella sp. 1-BER-2007. RNAcentral's name for it is "partial 5.8S ribosomal RNA". Lineage: Eukaryota; Viridiplantae; Chlorophyta; Ulvophyceae; Ulvales; Ulvellaceae. The record is from RNAcentral.
UCACACCUGCUCAGCGUCGGAA